AGUGGGUACGGGCAGACUAGAGUGAUGUAGGGGAGACUGGAAUUCCUGGUGUAGCGGUGAAAUGCGCAGAUAUCAGGAGGAACACCGAUGGCGAAGGCAGGUCUCUGGGCAUUAACUGACGCUGAGGAGCGAAAGCAUGGGGAGCGAACAGGAUUAGAUACCCUGGUAGUCCAUGCCGUAAACGUUGGGCACUAGGUGUGGGGGACAUUCCACGUUUUCCGCGCCGUAGCUAACGCAUUAAGUGCCCCGCCUGGGGAGUACGGCCGCAAGGCUAAAACUCAAAGGAAUUGACGGGGGCCCGCACAAGCGGCGGAGCAUGCGGAUUAAUUCGAUGCAACGCGAAGAACCUUACCAAGGCUUGACAUGAACCGGUAAUACCUGGAAACAGGUGCCCCGCUUGCGGUCGGUUUACAGGUGGUGCAUGGUUGUCGUCAGCUCGUGUCGUGAGAUGUUGGGUUAAGUCCCGCAACGAGCGCAACCCUCGUUCUAUGUUGCCAGCGCGUUAUGGCGGGGACUCAUAGGAGACUGCCGGGGUCAACUCGGAGGAAGGUGGGGACGACGUCAAAUCAUCAUGCCCCUUAUGUCUUGGGCUUCACGCAUGCUACAAUGGCCGGUACAAAGGGUUGCGAUACUGUGAGGUGGAGCUAAUCCCAAAAAGCCGGUCUCAGUUCGGAUUGGGGUCUGCAACUCGACCCCAUGAAGUCGGAGUCGCUAGUAAUCGCAGAUCAGCAACGCUGCGGUGAAUACGUUCCCGGGCCUUGUACACACCGCCCGUCAAGUCACGNAAGUUGGUAACA
RNAcentral lists this ribosomal RNA (797 nucleotides) under Arthrobacter ginsengisoli. RNAcentral describes it as "bacterial SSU rRNA". It matches the Rfam family "Bacterial small subunit ribosomal RNA", at positions 625 to 1419 of the family's 1533-position model. The record is from RNAcentral. Lineage: Bacteria; Bacillati; Actinomycetota; Actinomycetes; Micrococcales; Micrococcaceae.